UGCUCGGAUCUUUUGCAGCGCUUAUUGCGCGGCGAAAACCUUACACACUAUGUUUUUUUAAUUUGAAACUAUUGCUUUGGUCUGGCUUAGAAAUAGGUUGGGCCAAAGGUUUUAUCAAAACUUCAAUAUUUAUUAUUGAAUUGUUAUUUUUAAUUUUAUGUCAAUUUGUUGAUUAAUAUCAAAAAUCUUCAAAACUUUCAACAACGGAUCUCUUGGUUCUCGCAUCGAUGAAGAACGCAGCGAAAUGCGAUAAGUAAUAUGAAUUGCAGAUUUUCGUGAAUCAUCGAAUCUUUGAACGCACAUUGCGCCCUUUGGUAUUCCAAAGGGCAUGCCUGUUUGAGCGUCAUUUCUCUCUCAAAUCUUCGGAUUUGGUUUUGAGUGAUACUCUUAGUCAGACUAAGCGUUUGCUUGAAAUGUAUUGGCAUGAGUGGUACUAGAUAGUGCUGAACUGUUUUCAAUGUAUUAGGUUUAUCCAACUCAUUGACCAGUAAAGUAUUUGUUUAUUACACAGGCUCGGCCUUACAACAACAAACAAAGUUUGACCUCAAAUCAGGUAGGACUACCCGCUGAACUUAAGCAUAUCAUAGGGGGG
RNAcentral lists this ribosomal RNA (592 nucleotides) under Dujonia railenensis. RNAcentral's name for it is "[Candida] railenensis partial 16S ribosomal RNA". The stretch from base 193 to 346 matches the Rfam family "5.8S ribosomal RNA". The record is from RNAcentral. Lineage: Eukaryota; Fungi; Ascomycota; Pichiomycetes; Serinales; Debaryomycetaceae.